UAUAUGUGAUUUAAUGUUAAGUAUUUGGAAUUUUGUUUAGUAAAGUAUAUGUUGAUUGUUGAAUUGUCUUAGCAUCUUAUUACUCGAGUCCACAUUGUUGAACUCUGUCUUAGUAUCUUAUUACUCGGGUCCACCAACCGGACCAGGUGUAAAGGCCCAAUUUCAUCCAGCCUAAAACCAAAAAUAAAUAAACAAAACAUAAAAACCAAAAAAUAAAAAAUCCAAGUCCACUUACAAAAAAUAGGGCCCAAUACAUUUCCCAAAUUACUAGCCCAAUAACACAAAACCCUUAGGCCCACAACAUAAGUUUUCAGAAAACUAAAAAAACCCUAGCCCUUUGAGACACCGCUCCUUGCCAUGUCAACGGACACUUUGCCCGAAGACACCCACGCCCCGAGGUCUGUCGUUCUGCCACCGUUACACCAAAAUGGCUAAAGUACGACUCCCACCGUCGCUGUUGAUCGUCUACGAAUGCCCGCAAAGAAAAAGAAAACAAAACAAAUGAUAAAACUGGC
This 515-nucleotide long non-coding RNA is filed under the name Gossypium raimondii (Peruvian cotton). RNAcentral describes it as "long non-coding RNA (GRAI_LNC008198)". The record is from RNAcentral. Lineage: Eukaryota; Viridiplantae; Streptophyta; Magnoliopsida; Malvales; Malvaceae.